RNAcentral lists this unclassified non-coding RNA (348 nucleotides) under soil metagenome. RNAcentral describes it as "partial contains 5.8S ribosomal RNA, internal transcribed spacer 2, and large subunit ribosomal RNA". The stretch from base 1 to 120 matches the Rfam family "5.8S ribosomal RNA", at positions 35 to 154 of the family's 154-position model. The record is from RNAcentral.
GAUGAAGAACGCAGCGAAAUGCGAUAAUUAAUGUGAAUUGCAGAAUUCCGUGAAUCAUCGAAUCUUUGAACGCACAUUGCGCCCGCCAGUAUUCUGGCGGGCAUGCCUGUCUGAGCGUCAUUUCAACCCUCAUGCCCCUAGGGCGUGGUGUUGGGGAUCGGCCAAAGCCCGCGAGGGACGGCCGGCCCCUAAAUCUAGUGGCGGACCCGUCGUGGCCUCCUCUGCGAAGUAGUGAUAUUCCGCAUCGGAGAGCGACGAGCCCCUGCCGUUAAACCCCCAACUUUCCAAGGUUGACCUCAGAUCAGGUAGGAAUACCCGCUGAACUUAAGCAUAUCAAUAAGCGGAGGA